Molecule: long non-coding RNA, 1348 nt
Filed under: Cairina moschata (Muscovy duck)
Lineage: Eukaryota; Metazoa; Chordata; Aves; Anseriformes; Anatidae
Description: domestica (muscovy Duck (domestic type)) lncRNA (ENSCMMG00000011603.1)
Source: RNAcentral
AUGGGAUGUCACUGCAGGAGGGGGAGAGCAACUAAAUAUCCUAGUAAUUGCCUCUUUGGGAAGUCAGAAGGGGUGGUUAUUAAAAAGAUAUUGAUGCACUUCUGUGAAAGGCAUAACUAUCAAGCUAUUAGCCUCUUUGUCUUCCUCUUAUUCUUUUCCUUUCUCCUAUUGAUAAAGUUACUUGAUAAUUAUUUGCAAAUGCAGCAAAUCAGUCAAUCAAGCACACAGAUAUGUCAUCACUUUUUCGCCUUUUGCAUUCUGCCGAUCUUUUUACAAGAGAGCUCCACCAUAGAAGGCAAACAGAAAGAGUUAGUCCAUGGAAGUUCAUACGUCAGAGCUGAUGACUUUAAGCAGCGGAUGAUCAGUGCAUGGCUGGCUACAGAUGGAAACUCUGGGCUUGAAGUGUAGAUUUCUCUGAGCAUGUCCUCCCCUGGGAGAAAUGAAUUGAUAAGAAGGUAGGUGCAUUUUGGAAUCGUCUGUCAUAUACGUGAGAUGGACAUUGAUACCAAGUCUGCUUACUGAUCUCUUCAUUUGAUGCCCUGGAUAUUUCACAGAUAAUUGUGUAAUAACUUAAUGGAAAAUCAUUUAAAGGUUUCUAUAAAAAAAAAAAACACAAAACAAAACAAACAACCACCAACAAACAAACAAAAAUCCCAGCACUAUCAUCUUUCUGUAGCACAGCCUGUAACGUUGGCAAGGCUUUAUGUGGCACUUGCUCUAGGGUUUGUUUGGCUCAUGGGGCACAAAACCAGCCAAGGCAAUGAGAGAACGGGUUGUUCUGUGGCCAACUAGGUGAAAGGCUGCGUUUGUUGUGUGGUGCAGCUUUAGCAGCACGGAGAAUUUGUGCAAUGGACACAAAGGCCCCGAGUUUGAGGGUAGUCAGGAGAGAGGGGCAAAAAUGGUGAGAAACACAGCAGGCAAUAAAGCAUGGAAAUGGGGAUAUGGAGAAGUGCAAAACAUGGUAGUUUUUGUAGGAGGAACACAUGGAUGGGGUACAUCUGUUCUUCAGAAUAGUAUAGAAAUACAUAAGCUAAUGAGUAAGUGAAGGCCAUCUUGCUGAGCUAGCAUGGAAAGGGGAAAGAGAAUGCUAGUUGAGGUAUCUGCUCCGUGUUGUGCAUUGGUUUGCUGGUGUAAAGGUAAGAAACAGAUUCUGAGGAAUUAAAAUAUUAGAAAAUACUUUUUUUGUGUUGGUUGUCUUGUCCCCUUACAGAGCUCAGUGCAGAACUUAAAUAAUAAGUCUGGCAGGCUCCACAGCAGCCGAUGGGAAAUGGAGCAGGUAGAAGGGAGCAGUGAGUAAAGGGCACGUGGGAGGCAUAUGGAGCAGGUGUUUGAAGGGCACAGAGAAUGU